Long non-coding RNA from Manduca sexta (tobacco hornworm), 532 nucleotides. RefSeq lists it as uncharacterized. NCBI's taxonomy places the organism in Eukaryota, Metazoa, Arthropoda, Insecta, Lepidoptera, Sphingidae. The record is from RefSeq and is a predicted model, not a curated record. The transcript has 2 exons.
AAUGGUUUACAAUCACAAUCUAAUAAUUAAAUUGAAAAGAUAUUAAUAUCAGUUAUUGAUAGUAGAUAUUAUAACUACGCAUAUAAAGUAUACCUACAAUGUAACAAAUACAUAUAUAUAUAUAUGAAACCUGCAAACGGAAAUGAAGAGAACUAUAUAUGCAAUCUCCGCAACAAUGACAGCGAAAAUAUUAAUUACAUUUUUAAUCAAUGAACAUAUUAUAAACUAUAAAAUUUGAGACAACACACAUUUAAAAUGACUUCAUUUACAUUCAACACUACUUUGAAACAACAGGGCGGUACUUUCCUUAUAUUCACAAUCCUGUUUCUUUUUAUUAUCCUUGUGUUAUACGUCAGCACCAAGGACUGGAAACGAUUUACUUGCCCGGAGGAAGUGGAUCUGGGCUCAGUACGACUACCAUCCCAUACUUGUCGCCGGAAACACCCAAAUACUCAUAGACACUGCAGCUUAUGAAGAAUUAACAAUGUUUUUAUACUAAUCUGUGUCAAAUAACAUCAUGUUCGUCUACUGA